This 879-nucleotide small RNA is filed under the name Pan troglodytes (chimpanzee). RNAcentral describes it as "processed transcript". The record is from RNAcentral. Lineage: Eukaryota; Metazoa; Chordata; Mammalia; Primates; Hominidae.
AUGCAUCUGCAAGCCAAGGAACACCUAAGAGGACCAGCAAACCACCAGAAGCCGGGGGAGAGGCGUGGAACAGACCCUGCCUUACAGCUGUCAGAAGGAACCAACCCUGCCAACACCUUCCUGUUGUACUUUCAGCUUCCAGAACUAAAAAAAGAGAAAAAAGCAGGGUAAGAAGAGAAAGUGGUGGAGUUGAGCUGGGCAGAGUGGCUCUUUUAGAAGCGAUGACAUUUACACAUAGGUCACUAUGGAGAGGGCCAUGCAGACACCUGGAGGAGUGCCACAGACACAGGGAAGAGUGCAGGAAAGCUGACUUGGAAACACGGGGAGGUGGCAGGGAGGGGCAAAAAGGACUCUGGCAAGCAGAUCCACUGGUCUGGGUCCCUGCAGUGAAGAACCCAAGAUCCAGGUACCUCAGCCUGGAAGAAACCGUGCACUGCAGGUCUUCCCUUCUCUCAAAACUAAAAGCAAGGAACAGAAGUCAGUUGAAACCCCAGGUCAUCCUACCCACCUUCUGGCCGUCUCUGGAUAAUGAUCUAAGGAAAUAAGCUUACAUUUAUAAUUAGAGGAUAAUUUGGAGAAUUUAUACUAUUUACAUGGGCCACCCUGCAAAGAUCAGGGAAGGCUGGAUUUCUUCCUCCUUGAUCGUCUGAACUGGAAGCAAAGGAGAAAGCCCUUCUCCAAACAGGAGUUUCUCCUCUUUCCCUGGUCCUGCAGAAGAAAGAGGAGCUAUCCCCUCCUCAGCUAGCAGCACCUGAAAGGUAAACAGAGACAAGGUGAACCAACGGUCACCAGACAGGACGCACAAAAAUAUCACAUACUGGUUCUGAUCCUCUUUGUGUCGUUUUGAAGUCUUAAAAUCUAUUAAAUAUGAGAAUACAA